This is a long non-coding RNA of Dermochelys coriacea (leatherback sea turtle), 1782 nucleotides long. RefSeq lists it as uncharacterized. NCBI's taxonomy places the organism in Eukaryota, Metazoa, Chordata, Testudines, Dermochelyidae. The record is from RefSeq and is a predicted model, not a curated record. The transcript has 2 exons.
UUUGGAUACUUCACUUUUUGGGAGCCCCUCUUAAAAUGCCUAAAAAGGUGCCUGAUUUUCAGAACGUGCUGAGCCUCUAACCCCUUUAAGGUGCCUAAAUUUGGGCAUCCAAAAAUUGAGAUGACCCAGAAUCACUACACAAAUGUAGACUGAGAGCAGAACUUGGCCCACAGAAACCGAACCCUAAAAUACGGGCAACAUGUGGGCCUUUCACAUCCCCAACAUAUGUCACAUCUGCACUAGCAGGACGUUAUCAUGUAUACCUCAUGCUAGGAACCCAACCCUAAGACAAGACACAUCUUAUUAUUUGAUUUUAUUUUCCCCCAAGAAACAUCAGUCCUACAUAGAGUGACUUUGCUAGUAUAAAUGUCAGCACUGCGUAAAGAAUUGCAGGCCACAUCCUUCGCUGAUAAGGACUGAUUGAUUUACUGCAGCUAAAAUUCUUGCUCUGAGCUUUUCCCCUAACCUAACUAACCUAUCACCAUAUUUGCUGUUUCGGAGUUCACUCACAGCACACGCUCAAACAUGGCAACUGCACACACACCCCUAUUGUGACUUCCUUUGUGAAGCGUCCUCCUGAAUCCACUGUCGUCUUUAAGAAGCAUUCAGGAUCACUGAGAGUCACUUUGGUUGCAUCAUCCUUCUGACUGAUGGCUGAAAAAAUUACUCAAACCCGUGUGUUAAUUAAACUUUUACUGAUAUUAUUAUGCAAAGAUGUUCUGUGCAAUCAAAUAACACAGACACCCUUGGCUCUUACGGUGGAGAUGGAGAACCAAGCGAAAGUAUUUUGCAAUUAUGCUACUACCUCUGCAAAUCCUGAUUUGUACUGGUAUCGUCAGCUCUCUGACAACACCCUGCAGUUCAUCCUAUACAGGGAUAACUCCCAGUCCCAGGAUGCUGAUUUUGCCAAGGGACGCUUUGCUGUGGAGCAUGAUUUAGCAGGAAAAACCUUCCACUUGCUUAUAUCUCCCAUGGGAAGUGAGGAUGCUGCUUCCUAUCACUGUGCCAUCAGAGGCACCAUGACACAACCUGACUGCAGCGCUGUACAAAAACUUCCUGGAAAGGCCCUGCCUUUGCAAUACGUCUCCUACACCCUCACAUUUCAACGGGCGUUACGCGCCUAAAUGCCUUUGAAACUCUAGCACUAAGUGGCUUCCCAAGGUCUCACACGGGAAGUCUGUGAGAAAACAGGGACCUUCACCAAGGUUUCCCCAGGUCUAGGCGAGUGUCCUAACCAUUGGGCCAUCCUGUCUUUACACACAGUUUGCAGAUGGUUUUUGUACCUCUGUCACUAGACACUGACAGAGCUCAAGGAGUACAACCCGCUUCCGAGUAUGCAGUUACUCUGAUGAGUAAAGAUGCUUUUGUCAGUAUAAGUCAUUCCCAUACAUUUACAAGGAUUUUAGAACCAAUAUAGUAAUAGAGGAACAAAACCCUGUCUCUUGACCAGCCCUUCGAAUUCAGCCUGUGUCUGAAGAAGGAAGGUUUCUUCCAAAGCUCUUGUUCAUUCUAUAAUCUUUGUUCUGGUAACACUGGGUGUUCUCAUUAUCCAUUUACAUGCCCAGGGCUUUUUUCAGUCCUGCUAAUUUCUUGAUCUCGGUGAAAGCUUGUGGCAAGGAGUUCCACAGGCCAAUUGUGCACAGUGUGGCGAAGUAUUUCCUAGUGAAACCUCCUGCCUGAUAGAGGACACAGAUUUUCACCCAUCUAUUACUGCAGUGGAAGGGGAUGUUCUUGCCCAGUAAAUAAGUGAAAAAUAAUAAACCAAGGCUGAGAUACCUAAAA